GCACCCAACAGUGCGUGUGAGGAACGAACUGCUGUUUGAGCGUCCCCUGAGAUUGUGCGUAGCCCCGUGUAAAUGUAAUAGCCUCCAUGGCUUAAUUGGCUAGCAAGCGAAUUUUCCCAGAUGAAAGCAAUGUUGGGUUAGGGGACGACGGUGCAGCCACCCAGCCUUUACCAGCAGCGUGCUGCAGACGAAGGCAGUCAAGGUGUGGAGGUGAUCACGCAGGCGCAGGUCAGUUGCCGUGAUGCUCCUUGAGUCAAUGAGCUCUUUGGUCUGCUCUUCUGCUCAAGCAGAAAAUGAUCUGCGCUUCACCCUUGAGAAGCUGACAAGAACCACAGGCUUCUUCAGGCAGGUGGUGGAACAUGGGUGUAUCCUUCAGGCUCUAGCCUGAUUUUCUGGCUCAUAAGGCCAAAGGGAGCUGGAAAGGUCCCCACGGCAGGACUCAUGGUGGAGAGAGAAUGAUCUAGAGGAUUCAGGCCUCUGCACACUGUGUCUGGGUCCCUCCUUAAAGAAUGAUAAAGACAAGUAAAGAGCUUGAAGCAGCCUGGAGUCCAGCCAGAAACCUUUAACUGAGCUUUAAAGGAGAUGGUCACAACACUUUUCAGAAUACUGGCAAAGGCCUCCUGUGGCCAAGUUUGUCCUGGGAUGAGCAAAAUUUAAUGUUAACCUGCUGUAUCUUUGCUUUUAAUAUAUCUGCUUGCCCAUCACAAUGAUAUUAUGGUUAAUUUCACCAAUUUGGUAACCUGCCUCUUGGGAAGUACGAAAGUAAGCAAGGGCCAGGUAUGGUGACUCACGCCUGUAAUCCCAGUACUUUGGGUGGCUGAGGUGGGUGGAUUGCUUGAGCCCAGGAGUUCAAGACCAACCUGGGCACCAUGACAAAACCCCGUCUCUACAAAAUAUACAAAAAUUAACCAGGAGUGGCAGUGCAUGGCUGUAAUCCCAGCUACUCGGAGGCUGAGGUGGGAGAAUCUCUUGAGCCUGGGAGGCAGAGGUUGCAGUGAGCUGAGAUCACACCACUGCAUUCCAGCCUGGGCAAUGAAGUGAGACCCUGUCUCAAAAAAAAAAAAAAAAAAAAAAAAAGAGAAAGACAGUGAGGGUGUCCUGUGAAUCAAAUCUUUGAAUGGAUGUUUUCUUAACUAACCAAGACCUCUGUAAGAAUUCUGUCUUUGAUUCCACAAUAAAGUGGUGUGAAAUUACUAUAA
Molecule: long non-coding RNA, 1199 nt
Filed under: Homo sapiens (human)
Lineage: Eukaryota; Metazoa; Chordata; Mammalia; Primates; Hominidae
Description: family with sequence similarity 245 member B (FAM245B)
Source: RNAcentral